RNAcentral lists this ribosomal RNA (255 nucleotides) under uncultured bacterium. RNAcentral's name for it is "partial 16S ribosomal RNA". It matches the Rfam family "Bacterial small subunit ribosomal RNA", at positions 524 to 776 of the family's 1533-position model. The record is from RNAcentral.
UACGAAGGGGGCUAGCGUUGCUCGGAAUCACUGGGCGUAAAGGGUGCGUAGGCGGGUCUUUUAAGUCAGGGGGUGAAAUCCUGGAGCUCAACUCCAGAACUGCCUUUGAUACUGAGGAUCUUGAGUUCGGGAGAGGUGAGUGGAACUGCGAGUGUAGAGGUGAAAUUCGUAGAUAUUCGCAAGAACACCAGUGGCGAAGGCGGCUCACUGGCUCAUUACUGACGCUCAGGCGCGAUAGCGUGGGGAUCAAACAGG